RNAcentral lists this ribosomal RNA (606 nucleotides) under Poblicia fuliginosa. Its description in RNAcentral is "SSU rRNA". It matches the Rfam family "Eukaryotic small subunit ribosomal RNA", at positions 4 to 579 of the family's 1831-position model. Lineage: Eukaryota; Metazoa; Arthropoda; Insecta; Hemiptera; Fulgoridae. The record is from RNAcentral.
CUGGUUGAUCCUGCCAGUAGUCAUAUGCUUGUCUCAAAGAUUAAGCCAUGCAAGUCUCAGUACAAGCCGAACUAAGGUGAAACCGCAAAAGGCUCAUUAAAUCAGUUAUGGUUCCUUGGAUCGUACAAUCCAUUACUUGGAUAACUGUGGUAAUUCUAGAGCUAAUACAUGCAAACAGAGUCCCGACCGUAAAUGGAAGGGACGCUUUUAUUAGAUCAAAACCAAUCGACGUCCGUCUGCUUUCGGGCCGACGGCGCCGUACUCCUUGGUGACUCUGAAUAACUUUUGGCAGAUCGCACGGUCUCCGAACCGGCGACGCAUCCUUCAAAUGUCUGCCUUAUCAACUGUCGAUGGUAGGUUCUGCGCCUACCAUGGUUGUAACGGGUAACGGGGAAUCAGGGUUCGAUUCCGGAGAGGGAGCCUGAGAAACGGCUACCACAUCCAAGGAAGGCAGCAGGCGCGCAAAUUACCCACUCCCGGCACGGGGAGGUAGUGACGAAAAAUAACGAUACGGGACUCAUCCGAGGCCCCGUAAUCGGAAUGAGUAUACUCUAAAUCCUUAUACGAGUAUCAAUUGGAGGGCAAGUCUGGUGCCAGCAGCCGCGG